UUCCUUCUCUCUUCUUCUCCACCAACAUUGAAGCGUGUGAUCACCUUUUCUGGUCAGGGCUCAAGCCAUGUGGCCCUGUCCAACAAUAAACCAUCUUUCCAAGCAGCCUCCAUGUCUCCAGUGUCUUCUUCCCCACUUGGAGCUGAACCCAGAAGGACAUUUCUUUCAACAUACAUUGGCAGCUCAGGAAUGAAUCCUAAAAUACUCUCUGGAAAAACCAGGUCUUUACAACUUCCCAGAAGGCUAUAAGGGUGGGAGCAAUCUUUCCAUGGAAUGUAAAGAUAUACUUCAGAAUUCAAAUCUGUUGGUGAACUCAUAUCUUUGGAAGAAGAUUUGUCUUCAAGUAUUGGCCCACUGCUGGUUUCACUAUCUGCUUUUUGGCUCAGUGUAUCUGAGAAUGUAUCAUCCCUAAACAUUAAAAAAAACUUAUGUUGCAAAAUUAGGGUAUGUAGCUUUAAAACAAGAAAAGCAUGCUUCAAUUCAGCCUCUGUUUUAUAUCCCCUUAUUUCUAUUUAUCUUCUCUUCACUAACAAAUGUUUUGCGUGGGAUUCACAAGGAGAAGCAAUGGGAUCCAAAGACAAACUUUUAUAGUGUUACUAUCAUGCAAAUACUGCAAUGUGCAUACUUGCAUCAGAGAUUAAGAUACAUCAUGGCAGUGUUUGCAGGAUGAGAUCUUUGUGUUCGUGUCAUUUUGCUGUGAUUGUAGUUUGCUGUAGUUGCCACUGUUAUAGUUACUGUUUUCAGAGGCAUUUGUUACAUGCAUAAUCAAACAU
Long non-coding RNA from Thamnophis elegans (Western terrestrial garter snake), 773 nucleotides. RefSeq lists it as uncharacterized. The transcript is spliced from 2 exons. NCBI's taxonomy places the organism in Eukaryota, Metazoa, Chordata, Lepidosauria, Squamata, Natricidae. The record is from RefSeq and is a predicted model, not a curated record.